Molecule: ribosomal RNA, 169 nt
Filed under: Escherichia coli
Lineage: Bacteria; Pseudomonadati; Pseudomonadota; Gammaproteobacteria; Enterobacterales; Enterobacteriaceae
Description: partial 23S ribosomal RNA
Rfam family: Bacterial large subunit ribosomal RNA
Source: RNAcentral
GGGUUGUGAGGUUAAGCGACUAAGCGUACACGGUGGAUGCCCUGGCAGUCAGAGGCGAUGAAGGACGUGCUAAUCUGCGAUAAGCGUCGGUAAGGUGAUAUGAACCGUUAUAACCGGCGAUUUCCGAAUGGGGAAACCCAGUGUGUUUCGACACACUAUCAUUAACUGA